RNAcentral lists this ribosomal RNA (518 nucleotides) under uncultured bacterium. RNAcentral's name for it is "bacterial SSU rRNA". It matches the Rfam family "Bacterial small subunit ribosomal RNA", at positions 355 to 891 of the family's 1533-position model. The record is from RNAcentral.
UGGGGAAUAUUGGACAAUGGGCGCAAGCCUGAUCCAGCCAUGCCGCGUGAGUGAUGACGGCCCUAGGGUUGUAAAGCUCUUUCGCACGCGACGAUAAUGACGGUAGCGUGAGAAGAAGCCCCGGCUAACUUCGUGCCAGCAGCCGCGGUAAUACGAAGGGGGCUAGCGUUGCUCGGAAUCACUGGGCGUAAAGGGCGCGUAGGCGGGCUCUUAAGUCAGGGGUGAAAGCCCAAGGCUCAACCUUGGAAUUGCCUUUGAUACUGAGGGCCUUGAGACCGGAAGAGGUCGGCGGAACUGCGAGUGUAGAGGUGAAAUUCGUAGAUAUUCGCAAGAACACCAGUGGCGAAGGCGGCCGACUGGUCCGGUUCUGACGCUGAGGCGCGAAAGCGUGGGGAGCAAACAGGAUUAGAUACCCUGGUAGUCCACGCCGUAAACGAUGGAUGCUAGCCGUUGGCGGGUUUACCCGUCAGUGGCGCCGCUAACGCUUUAAGCAUCCCGCCUGGGGAGUACGGUCGCAA